This 497-nucleotide ribosomal RNA is filed under the name uncultured bacterium. RNAcentral describes it as "partial 16S ribosomal RNA". It matches the Rfam family "Bacterial small subunit ribosomal RNA", at positions 28 to 507 of the family's 1533-position model. The record is from RNAcentral.
GAUGAACGCUGGCGGCGUGCCUAAUACAUGCAAGUCGAGCGAACGUACGAGAAGCUUGCUUUUCUGAUGUUAGCGGCGGACGGGUGAGUAACACGUGGAUAACCUACCUAUAAGACUGGGAUAACUUCGGGAAACCGGAGCUAAUACCGGAUAAUAUUUUGAACCGCAUGGUUCAAAAGUGAAAGACGGUCUUGCUGUCACUUAUAGAUGGAUCCGCGCUGCAUUAGCUAGUUGGUAAGGUAACGGCUUACCAAGGCAACGAUGCAUAGCCGACCUGAGACGGUGAUCGGCCACACUGGAACUGAGACACGGUCCAGACUCCUACGGGAGGCAGCAGUAGGGAAUCUUCCGCAAUGGGCGAAAGCCUGACGGUGCAACGCCGCGUGAGUGAUGAAGGUCUUCGGAUCUUAAAACUCUGUUAUUAGUGAAGAACAUAUGUGUAAGUAACUGUGCACAUCUUGACGGUACCUAAUCAGAAAGCCACGGCUAACUACGUG